Molecule: long non-coding RNA, 1672 nt
Organism: Equus caballus (horse)
Lineage: Eukaryota; Metazoa; Chordata; Mammalia; Perissodactyla; Equidae
Source: Ensembl
AAAUGAAAUGGAUUAAAUAUAGCUGGUGAUCCUUAAUGAAAUGGAUUAAAUAUAGCUAGUGAUCCUUAAAUGAAAUGGAUUAAAUAUAGCUGGUGAUCCUUAAAUGAAAUGGAUUAAAUAUAGCUGGUGAUCCUUAAAUGAAAUGGAUUAAAUAUAGCUGGUGAUCCUUAAAUGAAAUGGAUUAAAUAUAGGUGAUCCUUAAAUGAGACGGAUUAAAUAUAGCUGGUGAUCCUUAAAUGAAAUGGAUUAAAUAUAGCUGGUGAUCCUUAAAUGAGAUGGAUUAAAUAUAGCUGGUGAUCCUUAAAUGAGAUGGAUAAAAUAUAGCUGGUGAUCCUUAAAUGAAAUGGAUUAAAUAUAGCUGGUGAUCCUUAAAUGAGAUGGAUUAAAUAUAGCUGGUGAUCCUUAAAUGAAAUGGAUUAAAUGCCAAGUGGCUCACCAUCUUCUAACCUUCAGUUUAGUCACCUGAAAAAGUUCACAAUUCAAAAUAUGAUUUAUAAAGGAACCCAAGCUCAUCUCUGUCUCUGUUAUUUCCUGAGAAGAAAGUUUCCUGGGAGAUACUGCUGCAGCGUGUGCUCAUGGAUCUUUCAUCAGCAUCUUCUUAUGGUAGAAAAGAAACUGGUCUCCUCAGUUGUCUCAUUUGAGAUCAACAAAGCAUAUGAAGAAUGCCAUGGCCCAAGUGGAGAGAGGAGAGGAGGACCAGCAUGUGGAAACAGAUGUUCGCAGGAUCCGAUGGCAGGAGCGUCCAAAUGUAAAAGCUUUUUGGAGAGCCAUUUGGUGAUAGGAAUUAAGGCUUAAAAAUACCCUUUGGCCCAGCAAUUCCACUACGAGCAACUUAUCCUAAGGAAAAAUAUCAGAAGAAUGCACAAAGAUGAAUGAAUAAAAAUGGUUAUUCAUCACAGGGGUUUUGUAAUAGAGAAAAAUCCUGCAAAACAGGGAAUUAUUUAAUCAGAGGUAAUAAGCCAAGUGAAAAGUAACUGAAACGCGUGAAAGAGGCUGGGUGUUGGACAGUAGGGAGUAGUGGCAAAUCAGAAGUGCGGCCAACUGGCCAGGCAGCUCUGGUGGAUGGCUGUGUGGGGCUGUUGGCUCAGGGUUGCCAGAGUCCUUGAUUUAUCAAAAUAAACUGGAAAUCCAUAUUUUUUGUAAGAUGUUUUCCAAGUUUUAAAGUGAUGUGCAGGAAAAACCAAAUGCAGUUGUGGACCCUGAGUUACGGGCUGCCAGUAUACAACAUUUAACAAACGUUAUAUUAGAAUCUACAGUGAAACAAAAUGCUGUUACUAAAACUGAUGCUAGAGUUCUAUCUUUAUUGGCAUAUAAAGAUACUCCAGAUUUUGCAAAGUAGCAUGUGUACUAUGAUCGCAAUUUUUGCAAAAAAAUCCCCAUAUGUUUGUUGCAUUUGUAUACCGAGGGCAAAGACUUGUAUGAUAUCCACUGAAAUCCUCAUGGUUAUCCACGGUGAGGAACUCAGGGACAUUUUGAUUUUGUAUUUUCUAAUUUUUCUACUUUGAGAAUAUAUUGUAUAAUAAAAUUUAAUUUAAAAUAACAAAAUAUGUUUGCUUCUACAAUGGAGAAUGUGAUACAAAAUGCAACAGGAGAACAGAAUGAGAAGAACUUGAAGACGGCAGAUAAUUUAAUAGGAAAUUAAGAAUGCAUUAAAACUGUCGGGAAAAAAUUA